CCUUGCACCUGUAUUUUGGAUGUGCUCAUAUUGCAGCUUGAUGAGGCUUGUAAAGAGGCACAUUGAUAUAGUUUAAAAAACAAAGCCAGCUUUGAGGCGCUUCUUGUCUGAAGAAAGCACACUUCAAGUUUCCUACCCUGUGCUGGCGCUUUACAAUUUCAGAUUUGAGCACAGGUACUGCAGAGGAAAAUCACUGGAGGAGGACUUGAAUUAAUUCUGUGCUAAAAGAGCUGUUCUAAACAGAAAUACUGCUGAUGCACUUUCCCUUUUCACCUUACAAGAAGAGAUUAUAUAUGCAUCACCUUGCUUUUACUAUAGUCUGUGCAAAUAUCAUUCUUGCAACAACUUGAGGCUAUCUGUGCUGUAUUUUAAUACUCCAAAUACACCGUUGUUACGAGCACAUUUUACUGAUGUUAAAUGCUUUGAUCAGAAGUGCGGUGGAUAUUGUGACCGAGCAGCAAAAUAGGAAUACAUAAAACAUUAGCUGACAUUGCUAAAGAGAAACAAAACCAUUGUUAUGUAGUACAGUCUGCUCUGGAUGUAGCAUUCCUAUUUAGAGCAUGGCUAUUAAGUUUAGAAAGACCAAAUACGUAUACAGCUUUGUAAAGUUUAGCCUGGUCCUUGAUAACCUUAUAUGAGGCCAUUAACACUAAGAAAUCUACUGUCAAGAAACUGCAGUAAAGGACUAAAUUGAAAACAGAACAGGCGAGUCUUUAUUGCUACACUGUGCCAAUUAUAUCACCACGUUGUUUCUUCACUGCAAGACUGAUAAGAAUCUCCAAAUGCUUCGAUCCCGAGGGACUCGGACAUGCCUGGUGAAAAUUGGAAAUCAAUAGGAGUCUAUAAUCGCAAGCAAACUGCAUCGUUUUCAUUGCUGUGAGCGAUGGCAGCCAUCCACGGUGACGCUGCCGACACACUUCCACCAAGCCUGUCUGUUGGAGCCUUCUGCUCACAUGAAUCUUUUGUAACUUGGGAGGAAAGAGGAGAAUUCAUUUUCUGGAUGUGGAUUUUAAAUGUAUUGGCAGUCCUGCUGAGGAGGCAAACAAUAUUUAGUUUCCAGUCCUGACAGUAGACUGCAAAUUCAUCUCAGGUCUGGCUUGAAGCAAGCUCCGUCUCCAAAGCUGAGAGGUAAUUUAGUCUCCAGGGUUAUUCUGUCCUGUCCUUUGCUUAAGCAAAGGCUACCAAUUCAACGUGACAAUGAGAAUUGCUAUCCACUAGGGGCCAAACUAAGCCCACCAAAUGCUUGAUUUCCUUCCUGGAGCACUUUUUUCCCCUACAGUUGAAACUACCCACUUUUUUUUCUUGAUUUUUUUGAGCCCACUACUUGAUGUAUUCAAUUCUAGACAGUCCUUGAACUCCCUAAGUCUCAGACUGAA
Molecule: non-coding RNA, 1376 nt
Organism: Struthio camelus australis
Lineage: Eukaryota; Metazoa; Chordata; Aves; Struthioniformes; Struthionidae
Source: RefSeq, a predicted model, not a curated record